RNAcentral lists this long non-coding RNA (464 nucleotides) under Gopherus agassizii (Agassiz's desert tortoise). RNAcentral describes it as "lncRNA (ENSGAGG00000024797.1)". Lineage: Eukaryota; Metazoa; Chordata; Testudines; Testudinidae. The record is from RNAcentral.
UAUGUCAUCAUCAUUGUCUCAUAUUAUAUUGUCUUUUUAAAUAUAGUUUACAAUAUUAUUUUCCAGGAGAUGACCCAUUCUUGGCCUCCGCCACUCUCAGCUAUUCACACACCUGGAAAAGUGGAACAGAGCAAGUUUCCAUUUGCAAACAAGGAGUCGCAGCAGGUGUCUACAGGACACAGCAAUCCAAGUAAGCAAUGUUUCAGUGAAACCCUCCCUGCAAGCCUAGAAGGCCUAGAAACAUCUGAUGCAGGGAAAGGUGAGGCUGAGCCAAAGAAUCCAGAAAACAGUGCAUCACAUACGUCAAUAAACCAACUCUUCAAACGGAGGGACUCAACGUUUAAAACAAAAAAAAACAGGCUGGAUCAGCAAACUUGAUUUUGCUCACAUGAGUUAGGAGAGGACUGAAUUUCUACAAAAUCACUCACCCUUUUUAUCUCAUUUGAGUGGGAGUGGAAUUCUUU